GUUUGCCGUCUAGAUAGGUAAGUAUUUUCUUAUCAUGUAAUAGCUGUUACUCUCUUUCAAAAUUACUUGUACUACAUAUUUCUUGUUUCUCAAAUUAGAGGCUUUGGAAUGGAUAUUGUGUCUUUCCUUCUAGCCAAGGACUGUAAUUUCCAUGUUUUGAUUGAUCUUGAGUUUCCACUUUUCUCAAUAUGAUAUUUGAUAUAUAUUUCUUUUUGACAUGAUUACUUGAUAUUUUAAUUUAUUGAAAAUUUAUUGCUGGUACUCUAUGAAAUUCUUGUGAUUGUUUCCAAUGAUUAGUACCAAAUAUCUUUAGCUGGUAAAAAUCCCAGCACACUGGCUUGGAGCUUGGCAUUAUACAAGGGACAAAAGAAUUAUACCGUUGAACCACUGCAUAUAAUGUGCAAUUAUGGUAAACUCUAUUAUAAGAUAGCUACAAAUAUAGCUAACAAUUGAAAGCUAUAAGGCAUGAAAAAGAA
This 476-nucleotide unclassified non-coding RNA is filed under the name Hevea brasiliensis (rubber tree). Lineage: Eukaryota; Viridiplantae; Streptophyta; Magnoliopsida; Malpighiales; Euphorbiaceae. The record is from RNAcentral.